This 440-nucleotide ribosomal RNA is filed under the name uncultured Anaeroplasma sp. Its description in RNAcentral is "partial 16S ribosomal RNA". It matches the Rfam family "Bacterial small subunit ribosomal RNA", at positions 341 to 792 of the family's 1533-position model. The record is from RNAcentral. Lineage: Bacteria; Bacillati; Mycoplasmatota; Mollicutes; Anaeroplasmatales; Anaeroplasmataceae.
ACGGGAGGCAGCAGUAGGGAAUUUUCGGCAAUGGGCGCAAGCCUGACCGAGCAACGCCGCGUGAACGAAGAAGUUAUUCGUAAUGUAAAGUUCUUUUAUCAGGGAAGAAAAAACAAAUUGACGGUACCUGAUGAAUAAGCUCCGGCUAACUACGUGCCAGCAGCCGCGGUAAUACGUAGCGAGCGAGCGUUAUCCGGAAUUAUUGGGCGUAAAGGGUGCGUAGAUGGCACAUUAAGUUUCUUGUAAAAAUUCUAGGCUCAACCUAGUAUGGCGAGAGAUACUGAUGAGCUAGAGUACGGGAGAGGCAAGUGGAAUUCCAGGUGUAGCGGUAAAAUGCGUAGAUAUAUGGAAGAACACCAGUGGCGUAGGCGGCUUGCUAGCUCGAUACUGACAUUGAGGCACGAAAGCGUGGGGAGCAAACAGGAUUAGAUACCCUGGUA